UAGGGAAUCUUCCACAAUGGACGCAAGUCUGAUGGAGCAACGCCGCGUGAGUGAAGAAGGUUUUCGGAUCGUAAAGCUCUGUUGUUGGUGAAGAAGGAUAGAGGCAGUAACUGGCCUUUAUUUGACGGUAAUCAACCAGAAAGUCACGGCUAACUACGUGCCAGCAGCCGCGGUAAUACGUAGGUGGCAAGCGUUGUCCGGAUUUAUUGGGCGUAAAAGCGAGCGCAGGCGGAAGAAUAAGUCUGAUGUGAAAGCCCUCGGCUUAACCGAGG
Molecule: ribosomal RNA, 272 nt
Filed under: uncultured bacterium
Lineage: Bacteria
Description: partial 16S ribosomal RNA
Rfam family: Bacterial small subunit ribosomal RNA
Source: RNAcentral